UGCCAUCCGCCGCGGUAAUACGGAGGGGGUCAGCGUUGUUCGGAAUUACUGGGCGUAAAGCGCACGUAGGCGGAUUAGUCAGUCAAGGGUGAAAUCCCAGGGCUCAACCCCGGAAGUGCAUUGGAAACUGGCGAACUUGAGUACGGGAGAGGAAAGUGGAAUUCCGAGUGUAGGGGUGAAAUCCGUAGAUAUUCGGAGGAACACCAGUGGCGAAGGCGGCUUUCUGGACCGAUACUGACGCUGAGACGCGAAAGCGUGGGGAGCAAACAGGAUUAGAUA
Molecule: ribosomal RNA, 279 nt
Filed under: uncultured bacterium
Lineage: Bacteria
Description: partial 16S ribosomal RNA
Rfam family: Bacterial small subunit ribosomal RNA
Source: RNAcentral